UUUGGUCGCCAACGAGUGGCGGACGGGUGAGUAACACGUAGGUAACCUGCCCAGAAGCGGGGGACAACAUUUGGAAACAGAUGCUAAUACCGCAUAACAGCGUUGUUCGCAUGAACAACGCUUAAAAGAUGGCUUCUCGCUAUCACUUCUGGAUGGACCUGCGGUGCAUUAGCUUGUUGGUGGGGUAACGGCCUACCAAGGCGAUGAUGCAUAGCCGAGUUGAGAGACUGAUCGGCCACAAUGGGACUGAGACACGGCCCAUACUCCUACGGGAGGCAGCAGUAGGGAAUCUUCCACAAUGGGCGCAAGCCUGAUGGAGCAACACCGCGUGAGUGAAGAAGGGUUUCGGCUCGUAAAGCUCUGUUGUUAAAGAAGAACACGUAUGAGAGUAACUGUUCAUACGUUGACGGUAUUUAACCAGAAAGUCACGGCUAACUACGUGCCAGCAGCCGCGGUAAUACGUAGGUGGCAAGCGUUAUCCGGAUUUAUUGGGCGUAAAGAGAGUGCAGGCGGUUUUCUAAGUCUGAUGUGAAAGCCUUCGGCUUAACCGGAGAAGUGCAUCGGAAACUGGAUAACUUGAGUGCAGAAGAGGGUAGUGGAACUCCAUGUGUAGCGGUGGAAUGCGUAGAUAUAUGGAAGAACACCAGUGGCGAAGGCGGCUACCUGGUCUGCAACUGACGCUGAGACUCGAAAGCAUGGGUAGCGAACAGGAUUAGAUACCCUGGUAGUCCAUGCCGUAAACGAUGAGUGCUAGGUGUUGGAGGGUUUCCGCCCUUCAGUGCCGGAGCUAACGCAUUAAGCACUCCGCCUGGGGAGUACGACCGCAAGGUUGAAACUCAAAGGAAUUGACGGGGGCCCGCACAAGCGGUGGAGCAUGUGGUUUAAUUCGAAGCUACGCGAAGAACCUUACCAGGUCUUGACAUCUUGCGCCAACCCUAGAGAUAGGGCGUUUCCUUCGGGAACGCAAUGACAGGUGGUGCAUGGUCGUCGUCAGCUCGUGUCGUGAGAUGUUGGGUUAAGUCCCGCAACGAGCGCAACCCUUGUUACUAGUUGCCAGCAUUAAGUUGGGCACUCUAGUGAGACUGCCGGUGACAAACCGGAGGAAGGUGGGGACGACGUCAGAUCAUCAUGCCCCUUAUGACCUGGGCUACACACGUGCUACAAUGGACGGUACAACGAGUCGCGAACUCGCGAGGGCAAGCAAAUCUCUUAAAACCGUUCUCAGUUCGGACUGCAGGCUGCAACUCGCCUGCACGAAGUCGGAAUCGCUAGUAAUCGCGGAUCAGCAUGCCGCGGUGAAUACGUUCCCGGGCCUUGUACACACCGCCCGUCACACCAUGAGAGUUUGUAACACCCAAAG
This 1360-nucleotide ribosomal RNA is filed under the name Limosilactobacillus fermentum. RNAcentral's name for it is "Lactobacillus fermentum 16S ribosomal RNA". It matches the Rfam family "Bacterial small subunit ribosomal RNA", at positions 80 to 1426 of the family's 1533-position model. Lineage: Bacteria; Bacillati; Bacillota; Bacilli; Lactobacillales; Lactobacillaceae. The record is from RNAcentral.